CAAUGGGUCAACUCAGGUUAGCUAUCAAAUCUCAUUGUUAUUCAAAUGAUAAACUAAACUGUACAAACAAUUGUCACUACCUAAUAUUUUAAGAAACAUUAUUUUACGAUAUUUAUACUAUUUGGAAAUACUGUAUUCCUUAUGAUGUAUUUUGGAAGCUUUUUAAAACAUGAAUUUAAACAGACAUUCCUGAGGUCCUACAAAGCAGCAGCCAUCUUCGACGGAGGUGAGAAUGGUGCAAGUGAUAAACGAGUUAAUUGGGGCAAAAUACAUUGCCAUCGCCAGGACGUGGGUUCCCACGAUGGUUGGUUGGGGAUCAGUGGGAGGAGUUGCCCUUGUCCACAUCAUGGAUUGGAGGCUGAUCUUGGAUUGUGUCCCCUAAAUCAAACGGAAAGUUCAAGGACAACUAGUCACCUCUGGCUCAGAAUUGUGAACAUAAAGCAACUGAACAACCCUUUCCGGGCCGGUAGUUGGAUUGGAGGCUGAUAGCUAUUGAGUGGCCAACAGAUGGCACUGUCGUUAAAUAACUUUUCAGUUGUCCCCUAAGAAUAUAGACUAGCAAAUGAAUGAAUAAAUUACUGGACCGCUAAUGACUGGACUGUGUGUCUGUCUGCAGGACUACAACUUGGGGAAGGGAAUGGUGGAAUGCUUGCUCUUUCUGCGUUGCGAAAGUGUGAUGCUCUGACACACCUAUCAUUCAGGGCUUGUAGAAGUCUUCCCAAAGGGAUGUCUAGUUAGAUUGAAUGCUGUUUUGUUCCAAUGUCAUUUAAUGUGAAUAAAUAUUUUAUUUACUUA
Long non-coding RNA from Oncorhynchus keta (chum salmon), 795 nucleotides. RefSeq lists it as uncharacterized. The record is from RefSeq and is a predicted model, not a curated record. NCBI's taxonomy places the organism in Eukaryota, Metazoa, Chordata, Actinopteri, Salmoniformes, Salmonidae. The transcript has 2 exons.